Molecule: long non-coding RNA, 1912 nt
Organism: Oncorhynchus tshawytscha (Chinook salmon)
Lineage: Eukaryota; Metazoa; Chordata; Actinopteri; Salmoniformes; Salmonidae
Source: Ensembl
CUCCCCUCCUCAGUUCUGUUGACUCUAGUCCUCCCUCCUCAGUUCUGUUGACUCUAGUCCUCCCCUCCUCAGUUCUGUUGACUCUAGUCCUCCCCUCCUCAGUUCUGUUGACUCUAGUCCUCCCCUCCUCAGUUCUGUUGACUCUAGUCCUCCCACCCUCAUUCCUCCUCGCCUCAGUUCCAAGAUGCCAAAUUAUUCGAAGCUAUUGAAAGAAGUGUUUUAGAUUUAUUGUGAAGAUUGUGGCGUCUCAGUGACACAACUAUCAGGGGCACCAAGCUGUUUGGCAUGUAAACCGAUUUCAUGUUUUCAGAUCUACAAUCCACAAUAGCUGUUGUAGGAGGCUUUAUGUUAUGCUUAGUAUUUCAACUGUUUUUAAUAGCAUGUGUUUUGCCAGUUAAUCAGUCAUCUCUGGGUAACAACUUACUUUCAAAUUACACUGUACAUUUCCACGUUUCAAAUGUGUGUCAUGAGGGACCUGAUGGACCUGUCAUUAUUCACCAAUACAGACAAUAACACCACGUAUAAGAACAGGAAGGCCCCUUUAUUACGGAGAGCACCUGAUGGACCUGUCAUUAUUCACCAAUACAGACAAUAACACCACGUAUGAGAACAGGAAGGCCCCUUUAUUACGGAGAGCACCUGAUGGACCUGUCAUUUUUGACUUAAAGGUUGUGUUUGAUUAUGUCAUGUUAUUAUUCUAAUUUUAUUAUUAGACACAAAGGCAUUUUGUGUUUUCUGUCCUUGACAGUUCUGAUCAGAAGACGAAGGAUUAAAGCCUUACCUCUGUAAAAGUUACACUGUUUAUUCCUCCGACCACGAAGAAGAAGAAGAAGGCAUAACUAUCUUAUUCCUCCGACCACGAAGAAGAAGAAGAAGAAGGCAUAACUAUCUUAUUCCUCCGACCACGAAGAAGAAGAAGGCAUAACUAUCUUAUUCCUCCGACCACGAAGAAGAAGAAGGCAUAACUAUCUUAUUCCUCCGACCACGAAGAAGAAGAAGGCAUAACUAUCUUAUUCCUCCGACCACGAAGAAGAAGAAGAAGGCGUAACUAUCUUAUUCCUCCGACCACGAAGAAGAAGAAGGCAUAACUAUCUUAUUCCUCCGACCACGAAGAAGAAGAAGAAGGCAUAACUAUCUUAUUCCUCCGACCACGAAGAAGAAGAAGAAGAAGGCAUAACUAUCUUAUUCCUCCGACCACGAAGAAGAAGAAGAAGGCAUAACUAUCUUAUUCCUCCGACCACGAAGAAGAAGAAGAAGGCGUAACUAUCUUACAACAGGCUCAUAGUAAAGCAUUUAAUAUCAAGUAUCCAUCCAGUCUACUCCCUCGUGAUAAUUCAUUGUAAAUCAACAACUUUUAAAUCCCUGCUUGAAUUGUAUUUCAGUUGAAGCUCUGAGCCGUAGCAGCAGAUGGAGACCUAGGGUGUAUCCCAAAUAGCAUCCUCUUCCCCAUAUAGUGCACUAGAGAAAUCUAUAUGUAAUCCAGUGUAAAUACCUUAUUGACGAGACAGACCAGGAACACAUGUUUAUUCAUUUAUUCCCUCUUCAGAUCUUUAUUUCUCUAUUUGUGUACUCAGAACAGACCGGGUUCUGUCGCUGUGCUCAGAACAGACCGGGUUCUGUCGCUGUACUCAGAACAGACCGGGUUCUGUCGCUGUGCUCAGAACAGACCGGGUUCUGUCGCUGUACUCAGAACAGACCGGGUUCUGUCGCUGUACUCAGAACAGACCGGGUUCUGUCGCUGUGCUCAGAACAGACCGGGUUCUGUCGCUGUACUCAGAACAGACCGGGUUCUGUCGCUGUACUCAGAACAGACCGGGUUCUGUCGCUGUUUUCAGAACAGACCGGGUUCUGUCGCUGUACUCAGAACAGACCGGGUUCUGUCGCUGUACUCAGAACAGACCGGGUUCUGUCG